Molecule: long non-coding RNA, 1513 nt
Organism: Triticum dicoccoides
Lineage: Eukaryota; Viridiplantae; Streptophyta; Magnoliopsida; Poales; Poaceae
Exons: 5
Source: RefSeq, a predicted model, not a curated record
AAGCAGACCUAGCCCACCCCGCGACCCUCGUUCCUCGUGCGCCGCCGCCGCCCCCCGCCUGCGAUGGAGGAAGUGAGAGGAAAGAGGAGAGGGAGGUGAGGCAGCAGGCAGGAGAGGGUCACCGGCUGCUGUCGGCCUGCGCCGGCGAGGUCGGGCGCGACCUGGCGGUUGGUGGCGGCUCGAUCCGAUCCUGGAUCGGGAGAGGAGGAAGGGAGGUGGGGGGCCGGCCGUCUCUGUGUCUCCUCGACGCCGAGCUGCGGCUGCUCCGUGAGUAGGAGGAGGAAGGGAGGAGGAAGGGAGGAUGAGGAAGUAGACCAGCAGGAGGAAGAGAGGAUCUCGGGACGCGCUCCUUAUUGGACUUACUGUAGUAUAAACAGGCCUUGCCUUUAGCUUUGUGGAAUAUUUAGAUCGCGGCGAUAGGUUCGAGCGACGCCAACCGCGGCCAACGACCUUGAUGCGGAUGGCAGCGACUGAACCGGUGGACAUGGUCGACGUAUAGGGGAAUCCACAUUUCUCUUUGCUUCCAUGUCCACAGGAGAAAAUUGCUGAACAUUUUGGCAUCCCAAGAUUUCCUCCCCACGGUAUGCAGUGGCUCAAGGAAGCUGAAGAGGAAGGCUAAGAUGAUGAAGAAGAGUAGAGCCGGAGUGGAAUGCAUCGUUCUGCAAUUUGGGUGGUUUCUUGGUGGGUUUGCACCCAGGAAGUUUUGGAGACUUGAAAAUUUGUUUGUACAACAACAUAACUCCAGCGACAGAUCUGGUGGCUUCCUUUAUAUUUCGACAAGUAUAUGUAUAUCUGAGCUUGUCUUUGGGUUGGGUUGCUGCUGGCUGUGAAUGGGAUGGGUUCUUGUCUUCCUGGGUGUUCCUCUACCUCAGCUCAACAUGAGGAUCUUGGGCCGCGGUUGCACUGCACGAGGUGGCGCCAGCAAUAUGCCUCGCGUCUCUGUGAGCCAACGACAGCGAUGAGCCAGGGAGAGCAAUCAUGGAUUCGCUACGGCAUCGACGCCCCAUCUCAAGGUACAACACAUGUGCUACUAUUCUCACAAAGGGAAUACUUACUGUUGACCAUUACUACGUAUGCCAGAUGACAGAAACAUUUGCUACUGACGGCAAAAGAAUGGUAAUCUCAAACAAAUGCAUUCUUGUGUUUCAUACAAGAACAUGCUGGCAAACCAUGUACUAAAUAACCUUUAGUACAUGGAUAUUGAUCAUGAUGAGCUACCAAUCAGGAGACGGGACCACCAGUGUCAUGGCCCGCUUUAUCAAGGGUGUCGACAACAGGGCUACACUCACAAAGAACUGGAGCAGCCUCUUUCAUAAGGCGAACAUGAAGAAAGGGUGUGCAUAUGCUUUCGCCUUCAAGUGCAUGUCCAAGGGCCUCUGCAUGAUUGUCUAUCCAAUCUAAACAAGUCACAAUAGUCCUUUGCUACGUAACUUGGUAUUACUAUAAGUACCUAUCGAGACUUCUAUAUCUGGCAUGAUUUUGGAUCUUAUGUAAAAAAUUAUGAUAAUCCUGU